RNAcentral lists this ribosomal RNA (255 nucleotides) under uncultured bacterium. Its description in RNAcentral is "partial 16S ribosomal RNA". It matches the Rfam family "Bacterial small subunit ribosomal RNA", at positions 99 to 354 of the family's 1533-position model. The record is from RNAcentral.
CGGACGGGUGAGCAACGCGUGGAAAACCUGCCGUAUACUGGGGGACAACACUUAGAAAUAGGUGCUAAUACCGCAUAAGCGCACAGCUUCGCAUGAAGCGGUGUGAAAAACUCUGGUGGUAUACGAUGGUUCCGCGUCUGAUUAGCUAGUUGGUGGGGUAAUGGCCUACCAAGGCAACGAUCAGUAGCCGGCCUGAGAGGGUGAACGGCCACAUUGGGACUGAGACACGGCCCAAACUCCUACGGGAGGCAGCAG